GAACCAGCGAGUCGUGUCAUUUUAAAAGACAACAAAUCGGUUAGUCGGCAGCUGCUCGGCUGAGCUGCCAUGUCGAGUUUCGCCGGAGCUCAGCAGAUGGAGUCAUGCAACUAAAAAAAGCAAAGCCCGUCCUGUGGAACAGAAGAUGAAGCACAGAUCCAAUCUGCUAAUGUACAAGCAACUGUAGGAGGGCAGCGACAGAGUCCUACUCGGCAACGAUAACCACAGAGCUACGAUGCAGGGGGGACGGUGAUGUUUAUACAGAGCAAGACAGCGGCCUGCUGGUUCACAC
This is a long non-coding RNA of Larimichthys crocea (large yellow croaker), 292 nucleotides long. RefSeq lists it as uncharacterized. The transcript has 3 exons. Lineage: Eukaryota; Metazoa; Chordata; Actinopteri; Sciaenidae. The record is from RefSeq and is a predicted model, not a curated record.